CGGCUGUAGCUAGAUCAACCCUAUGAAGUUAACUGUCCAGUUGUUGCGAGUGAUUUACUCAAAUCCCUGUCAACAAAUAUGCUUACUGAACUUCUCACAUUC
Small nucleolar RNA from Mangifera indica (mango), 102 nucleotides. RefSeq annotates it as small nucleolar RNA snoR109. NCBI's taxonomy places the organism in Eukaryota, Viridiplantae, Streptophyta, Magnoliopsida, Sapindales, Anacardiaceae. The transcript has a single exon. The record is from RefSeq and is a predicted model, not a curated record.